UCCCUGAUGGUCCAGGGGCUAAGACUCAGCACUUGCAAUGCAGGGGCCCAGGUUCGAUCCCUGUUCACAGAA
This 72-nucleotide transfer RNA is filed under the name Ovis aries (sheep). It matches the Rfam family "tRNA". From Rfam's summary of the family: Transfer RNA (tRNA) molecules are approximately 80 nucleotides in length. Their secondary structure includes four short double-helical elements and three loops (D, anti-codon, and T loops). Lineage: Eukaryota; Metazoa; Chordata; Mammalia; Artiodactyla; Bovidae. The record is from Rfam by way of RNAcentral.